RNAcentral lists this ribosomal RNA (769 nucleotides) under uncultured bacterium. RNAcentral's name for it is "bacterial SSU rRNA". It matches the Rfam family "Bacterial small subunit ribosomal RNA", at positions 93 to 882 of the family's 1533-position model. The record is from RNAcentral.
GAGCGGCGGACGGGUGAGUAACGCGUGGGUAACCUACCCUGUACACACGGAUAACAUACCGAAAGGUAUGCUAAUACGGGAUAAUAUAUUUGAGAGGCAUCUCUUGAAUAUCAAAGGUGAGCCAGUACAGGAUGGACCCGCGUCUGAUUAGCUAGUUGGUAAGGUAACGGCUUACCAAGGCGACGAUCAGUAGCCGACCUGAGAGGGUGAUCGGCCACAUUGGAACUGAGACACGGUCCAAACUCCUACGGGAGGCAGCAGUGGGGAAUAUUGCACAAUGGGCGAAAGCCUGAUGCAGCAACGCCGCGUGAGUGAUGAAGGCCUUCGGGUCGUAAAACUCUGUCCUCAAGGAAGAUAAUGACGGUACUUGAGGAGGAAGCCCCGGCUAACUACGUGCCAGCAGCCGCGGUAAUACGUAGGGGGCUAGCGUUAUCCGGAUUUACUGGGCGUAAAGGGUGCGUAGGCGGUCUUUCAAGUCAGGAGUGAAAGGCUACGGCUCAACCGUAGUAAGCUCUUGAAACUGGGAGACUUGAGUGCAGGAGAGGAGAGUGGAAUUCCUAGUGUAGCGGUGAAAUGCGUAGAUAUUAGGAGGAACACCAGUUGCGAAGGCGGCUCUCUGGACUGUAACUGACGCUGAGGCACGAAAGCGUGGGGAGCAAACAGGAUUAGAUACCCUGGUAGUCCACGCUGUAAACGAUGAGUACUAGGUGUCGGGGGUUACCCCCUUCGGUGCCGCAGCUAACGCAUUAAGUACUCCGCCUGGGAAGUA